GUUUUGUUCUUGCGUGACACACCGGAUUAGUAGACAACUUUAUAGCGCUUUGAUUGUCACCAAGAAGUUUUGUAGGCUUAUGAAUUGGUGAGAAUACAUCCCCAACAAGCCAACGAAGCCACGUGCAUUCCUGAGCAGCAAGAGUAGAAGCCUUGUAUUCCGCUUCAGUAGUAGAGAGCGAGACCGAGUCUUGCUUUUUACUGCACCAAGANNNNNNNNNNNNNNNNACAAGAGCCCGAUAAGGACGUGGAUCUGGUAAAAGCUUUCCUUCAUCACGCCUAAUUUUUAUGUUAGGCUCAAGAGGAGUAGAGCAAUGCUUACUUAUGUUUAUUCCAAACCUGUCAACAAACUUCCUCGCCUAGCUUUCUUGUGAAAGAAAUAUUCCGUCUUUCACAUAUUUCACUUCCAAACCAAGAAAGUGACUAAGCUCUCCCAAAUCUUUCAUUUCAUCCAUCUUUCACAUAUUUCACUUCCAAACCAAGAAAGUGACUAAGCUCUCCCAAAUCUUUCAUUUCAAAUCUGAUCGAGAGUUCAGCUCACAGUUUUGCAACCUCCUGUUCGUUAUUACCUGUAAUAAUCAUAUCAUCCACAUAUAGUAGCACAAUCAUGUGGAGCGCACCUUGCUUCUUCAGGAACAGGCUAGAAUCUGAGUCUGAUGCAAGAUAGCCACAAAAUUG
This 677-nucleotide long non-coding RNA is filed under the name Nicotiana benthamiana. Its description in RNAcentral is "long non-coding RNA (NBEN_LNC019457)". The record is from RNAcentral. Lineage: Eukaryota; Viridiplantae; Streptophyta; Magnoliopsida; Solanales; Solanaceae.